This 1536-nucleotide ribosomal RNA is filed under the name Triticum aestivum (bread wheat). Its description in RNAcentral is "partial small subunit ribosomal RNA". The record is from RNAcentral. Lineage: Eukaryota; Viridiplantae; Streptophyta; Magnoliopsida; Poales; Poaceae.
AUGGAUAGGAGUAUCUGGAGAAAUGCAGGCCCCUGGAUGGCUGAUCCUUCAGUGGUGCUACCGCCCGUGGUAUUUCCUCUCUCGGGCCCUCCGGUGUGCGCUACCUUGGGGGAUCCGUCUCGUCCGGGGUGCCUGCGCUCCGUCUAUGACCAAGCAACGGCCGCCACUUACAUCGAGCUAAGCUACGUCGUCCUCCGCGCCACCACCCCAGCCGAGAAGUUCUACCUGGAGCCGUCCAAGAAACACGACGGGCUCCUGCACGUCAGAUGCUCCGACGGCGACAAAUACUGGGUCGCCCAGCAGCUACGCGCGCCCGGCGGCGGCGGCAGUACCUGGUUCAUCUGUGCCACCGCAGAUGAACCGGAGGAGGACCUGACCAAGCCGUCCUGCACCUUGUUCGACUUCAGGCCUGACUCUACCACCAAACGCACCGCCAGGUUCUUUCAUUCCCAGCAAAAGAAGUAUGCUUGCAUGCUUUCUGUGUCUGGUCCAGGCAAAGCCUACUUGCAACUAAGAGAUAACCUAGAAGCUGAUAGUUCUAAUAUGAGUCUCUUCAGUGUUCGUCGCUUGUCACACGACAAGGAACUGCCCAAGUAUGUUGUCUUCAAAGGCGACAAUGGCAAGUACCUCACAGCACACGAAACAUCAGUUGAUAUCUUUCUGGUGUUUUCAUCGUCUGAUAUUGCAGAUCCAACUGUGAUCCAAGAGACCUAUACCGACGAGUAUGGCGUCGUCUAUAUAAAACAAGUUGCCUCAAAAGUGUAUUGGAGGCGUGGCCUUGAAGGUGGCCAUGCUGUAAAUUGGAUGAUGGCCGACAUAGGCAGCAGGGACUACGGAAUGGUUGACUGUUUGUUCAAGGUGGUCAUCAAGGAUGACAACUACAUUGCAGUCCUAUCCCAUGGCAACGGCAAAUUUUGCAGGAGGGUAACCAUCGACGACAAGAUAGAUUACUUCCAUGCUUCUUCCGACGAUGGCAAUACGAAAGAAGCAACGUUCCAGAUUGAAGAACCGGUCCGUUCUCGAGAAAUCUAUGAUGUCGAGUACCGCGUUGGGGGAAAGAAGACCAGCACCAACAAAAAUGUCUCCAGGACCCUUGUGCUUGCUACCAACAGAACACAUGAAACCCACAACGCCCAAACCACCAUCGAACUGUAUGACAGAAUAGAGAGUACCUGGGAUGCCAAGUUAACACUCGACGUAGGUAUCAAGGCCAAGUUGUCAGCCGGCUUGCCAUUCCUGAUGGAAGGCGAUGUUGAAAGUCAUCUUGACUUUCAUGGAGAGUAUAAUUGGGGUGAAACCAAGAUACAAGAAACUAAGCGCUCCAUAGAAUACUCAUAUCCUGUGCCUCCCAUGACUAAGGUGACAUGCAGCAUAUUUUCAAGAGAGGACGUCGUUGAUGUUCCCUUCUCGUACAUGCAGAAGGAUGUUCUGCUCAGUGGGGAAGUAGUUCCCCCUCGCCAGUUGCAUGAUGGCGUCUAUCGGGGUGCCAAGUCCACUGAUGUCGACAUCGACACCAGCGAAGAAAAGAUCACAUAA